This 88-nucleotide transfer RNA is filed under the name Metallosphaera sedula DSM 5348. It matches the Rfam family "tRNA". From Rfam's summary of the family: Transfer RNA (tRNA) molecules are approximately 80 nucleotides in length. Their secondary structure includes four short double-helical elements and three loops (D, anti-codon, and T loops). Further hydrogen bonds mediate the characteristic L-shaped molecular structure. tRNAs have two regions of fundamental functional importance: the anti-codon, which is responsible for specific mRNA codon recognition, and the 3' end, to which the tRNAs corresponding amino acid is attached (by aminoacyl-tRNA synthetases). tRNAs cope with the degeneracy of the genetic code in two manners: having more than one tRNA (with a specific anti-codon) for a particular amino acid; and 'wobble' base-pairing, i.e. permitting non-standard base-pairing at the 3rd anti-codon position. Lineage: Archaea; Thermoproteati; Thermoproteota; Thermoprotei; Sulfolobales; Sulfolobaceae. The record is from Rfam by way of RNAcentral.
GGGCCCGUAGCUUAGCAUGGUUAGAGCGCCCGGCUGAUAACUUCUGUCAGAGACCGGGAGGUCGAGGGUUCAAAUCCCUCCGGGCCCA